This 497-nucleotide ribosomal RNA is filed under the name uncultured bacterium. RNAcentral's name for it is "partial 16S ribosomal RNA". It matches the Rfam family "Bacterial small subunit ribosomal RNA", at positions 28 to 507 of the family's 1533-position model. The record is from RNAcentral.
GAUGAACGCUGGCGGCGUGCCUAAUACAUGCAAGUCGAGCGAACGGACGAGAAGCUUGCUUCUCUGAUGUUAGCGGCGGACGGGUGAGUAACACGUGGAUAACCUACCUCUAAGACUGGGAUAACUUCGGGAAACCGUAGCUAAUACCGGCUAAUAUUUUGAACCGCAUGGUUCAAAAGUGAAAGACGGUCUUGCUGUCACUUAUAGAUGGAUCCGCGCUGCAUUAGCUAGUUGGUAAGGUAACGGCUUACCAAGGCAACGAUGCAUAGCCGACCUGAGAGGGUGAUCGGCCACACUGGAACUGAUACACGGUCCAGACUCCUACGGGAGGCAGCAGUAGGGAAUCUUCCGCAAUGGGCGAAAGCCUGACGGAGCAACGCCGCGUGAGUGAUGAAGGUCUUCGGAUCGUAAAACUCUGUUAUUAGGGAAGAACAUAUGUGUAAGUAACUGUGCACAUCUUGACGGUACCUAAUCAGAAAGCCACGGCUAACUACGUG